This 672-nucleotide long non-coding RNA is filed under the name Triticum aestivum (bread wheat). RNAcentral describes it as "long non-coding RNA (TAES_LNC000305)". Lineage: Eukaryota; Viridiplantae; Streptophyta; Magnoliopsida; Poales; Poaceae. The record is from RNAcentral.
CUGUUGAACUCGUCAAAGGGCCUCAUCUGCUUUCUUUCAUCUUGUGAAGGUUCCAUCCUCUGACCUCAUGCUUCUUUGUGUGCACUUGGUGAUUAUUAUUAGUACUUUCGCUGCUAAUUGUUUAGUGUUUCAAUACAUUUUGUUCCUCUCAUAUAGUGUCUUUAUCGUUCUUGGUAGAACGAUUUUCUUGUGCAUAGAAAUUUUUGUCCUCUUACCUCAUAUUUAUUUGUGUGCUCUUGGUAAUUAUUGUUUGAGUUCAUUUUGUUUGUCUUCUGUCGCUUAUUUCCUUUCCAUCUGUAGGAUAUCCACAUUUGUAUGUUUUGUUUGUAUGCAGCUUGCGCCUUUUCCCUACGCUUUAAUGCUGGCCUGAACUAUUUGUGUGUCGUCUGUUUGCUUUUCUCUUUCCAUUUGGCAUAUGUGCUUGGUCUUGCUCUAUGAGAGUGAGCUCUCAUAUUUUCCUGCAUCUACAUCUGUUGCAGUGUUUCUUUUCUACGGUUGGUGUCAGCAGUCAGCUCAUCUCCUGGUUCAUCAUCCAGUAUUUGCACUCCUCUGAUCAACUUGCUAAGGUUCCAACUUCCUCCUUUACUUGUAUUCUUUAUACUUGUUGCAAAUCAAGUAAUUUAACCGGUUCUAACUGUGUGUGUAACGUGUGGUGUGACAUUUUGCUUUUUU